GAUGAACGCUGGCGGCGUGCCUAAUACAUGCAAGUCGAGCGAACAGACGAGGAGCUUGCUCCUUUGACGUUAGCGGCGGACGGGUGAGUAACACGUGGGUAACCUACCUAUAAGACUGGGAUAACUUCGGGAAACCGGAGCUAAUACCGGAUAAUAUUUCGAACCGCAUGGUUCGAUAGUGAAAGAUGGCUUUGCUAUCACUUAUAGAUGGACCUGCGCCGUAUUAGCUAGUUGGUAAGGUAACGGCUUACCAAGGCAACGAUACGUAGCCGACCUGAGAGGGUGAUCGGCCACACUGGAACUGAGACACGGUCCAGACUCCUACGGGAGGCAGCAGUAGGGAAUCUUCCGCAAUGGGCGAAAGCCUGACGGAGCAACGCCGCGUGAGUGAUGAAGGUCUUCGGAUCGUAAAACUCUGUUAUUAGGGAAGAACAAACGUGUAAGUAACUGUGCACGUCUUGACGGUACCUAAUCAGAAAGCCACGGCUAACUACGUGCCAGCAGCCGCGGUAAUACGUAGGUGGCAAGCGUUAUCCGGAAUUAUUGGGCGUAAAGCGCGCGUAGGCGGUUUUUUAAGUCUGAUGUGAAAGCCCACGGCUCAACCGUGGAGGGUCAUUGGAAACUGGAAAACUUGAGUGCAGAAGAGGAAAGUGGAAUUCCAUGUGUAGCGGUGAAAUGCGCAGAGAUGUGGAGGAACACCAGUGGCGAAGGCGACUUUCUGGUCUGUAACUGACGCUGAUGUGCGAAAGCGUGGGGAUCAAACAGGAUUAGAUACCCUGGUAGUCCACGCCGUAAACGAUGAGUGCUAAGUGUUAGGGGGUUUCCGCCCCUUAGUGCUGCAGCUAACGCAUUAAGCACUCCGCCUGGGGAGUACGACCGCAAGGUUGAAACUCAAAGGAAUUGACGGGGACCCGCACAAGCGGUGGAGCAUGUGGUUUAAUUCGAAGCAACGCGAAGAACCUUACCAAAUCUUGACAUCCUUUGACCCUUCUAGAGAUAGAAGUUUCCCCUUCGGGGGACAAAGUGACAGGUGGUGCAUGGUUGUCGUCAGCUCGUGUCGUGAGAUGUUGGGUUAAGUCCCGCAACGAGCGCAACCCUUAAGCUUAGUUGCCAUCAUUAAGUUGGGCACUCUAAGUUGACUGCCGGUGACAAACCGGAGGAAGGUGGGGAUGACGUCAAAUCAUCAUGCCCCUUAUGAUUUGGGCUACACACGUGCUACAAUGGACAAUACAAAGGGCAGCGAAACCGCGAGGUCAAGCAAAUCCCAUAAAGUUGUUCUCAGUUCGGAUUGUAGUCUGCAACUCGACUACAUGAAGCUGGAAUCGCUAGUAAUCGUAGAUCAGCAUGCUAUGGUGAAUACGUUCCCGGGUCU
Molecule: ribosomal RNA, 1372 nt
Filed under: uncultured bacterium
Lineage: Bacteria
Description: bacterial SSU rRNA
Rfam family: Bacterial small subunit ribosomal RNA
Source: RNAcentral